This 2501-nucleotide long non-coding RNA is filed under the name Homo sapiens (human). Its description in RNAcentral is "HSALNT0214571". Lineage: Eukaryota; Metazoa; Chordata; Mammalia; Primates; Hominidae. The record is from RNAcentral.
CUGGAAGUGAAUUUUUAGCAUAUGCUUGAAAUGCUUAUACUCUGCUGGCAUAGAGGUCUUAGUACCAAAGGCAGGAAUGCUUCCACCAGGAAACAUAAUAAUGAUUCCAUUGACCUGGGAGAUAAGACCACCACUCAGCUACUUUGGGCUCCUCAGGCCUCUAAACAUCACGUAAGAAGGGAGGGACUGUGCUGGCUGGGGUGAUUGAUGCUGGCUGCCAAGGCGAUUUUGGACUGCCAUUCCACAAUGGAUGUAAGGAACAGUACGUCUGGAAUACAGGAGAUCCUUUAAGGCAUCUCUUAGUCAUGCCCUGUGAUUAAAGUCAAUGGAAAACUACAACAGCCCACUCCAAACAGGACCACUAAUGGCCUAGACCUUUCAAGAAUGAAGAUUUGGCGCAUCCUACCAGGCAAAGAACCACAACAAGCUGAGGUAAUUGCUGAGGGAAAAGGGAAUAUAGGUAGCCAUAAAUACCAGCUACAGUCAAGUGACCAGUUAUAGAGACAGGGACUCUAAUUGUCCUGAGUAUUUCUUCCUGAUUUUGUUAUGAAUGUGUGUGUUUUCCUCUCUUACCUGCUUAUCGUGUAACAUAAGCUGUAUUGACUUUGUAUCAUAGUAUUUAAGUAUUGUUACCUUUCUGUCAUAUACUUAAGCUACAGGAUCUCAAGGUGAAGAAGAAAGAUCAUUCAUGGACUUUGCCUCCUCUUCUGGGGAAAGGGUUAGUGGGUUUUUGGCUGUACACAGGAUAGUUCUAUCACGUUAGGCAGAGCUAUAACCUUAUGAUUGUCUUUACUUGAAGAUUAAGUACAGUUUAGGGAGAUGUGUGUGGGUGCCCAGUUGACAGGAGUGGACUUGGGAUGGUUAAUUUUAUGGGUCAAUUUGGUGGUCCAUGGUGCCCAGAUAUUUGUUCAAACAUUAUUCUGGAUGUUUCUGUGAGGGUGUUUUUGGAGGAGCUUUACUAUUAAAUCAGUGGACUUUGAGUGAAGCAUAUUGCCCUCCAUAUGAGGCUUCUGCAGUUAGUGGAAGGCCUGAAUAGAACACAAAGAUGACCUCCCCUGAGCAAGAGAAACCCCGCCUGCAGACAGCCUUUGAACUUCCUCCGCAUCAUCGCUUUUCCUGGUUCACCGGCAGACAGCCUUUGGACUUGAACUGUGACUCUUUCCUGGACCUCCUCCAUUAGAUUUGGAGAUUUUAGAUGUGCCAAGCCUCCACCGUGAUGUGAACCAAUUGUUCUCUCGUGUGUGUGUGAAUCCUUUUGGUUCCGUGUCUCUGGAGAACCCUGCCUAAUACACUUGCCUAAGAUUAUAUAGAUGAUAAACAGUAGAAUUGGCUUUAAAUCCUGCAGUUUGGUGCCAGAAUCCACACUCUUGAUGUAUACCAUUCUGUUAGCCUUUAUCACUGUAAUAGGUAAUGUCCAUUUGAGUCCAAUAGUGAUAGCUUUUUCCCAUGUCUUCAUAUGAACUGAUCAUAUUGGUUAAGGGGAUUCCAAGUGGCUAAGAAGCUAGCUAUUAGAAUAAAAAACUCCAAAUGUCAAAGGCUAAUCACAAUAGAAGCUUACUUCUUACAUAUUCGUCAGUUUGAUAGAGGUAAUCUUGGUUGCUAGGCUACUUCCUCCACACAGUCAUUCAGGGACUCAGGCUGCUAUAGGCUCCGCCUCCCUCAACAUGUAGCUUCUAAGAUCACCCUGGGCUUUGAUUCCACUCUAGCCAGACAGAAGGGGAAAGGAGAAUGGUAGAUUAGGCAUGGAAAGUUUUUAUACUUACUACUGCUAAGGAAUUUGUUUGUUUGAUUUAAAAGGAAAGCAGUUUAAAUUGUUUUAUUCUGAAAUUAUUUUGUGUGUAUAUGUAGGUAUGCAUGUAAAGUUUCCAAUCUCUCCUUCAUUUUAUUUCAAACUCCUUAAAUUAACAGGGUAUAAACAGAGAGGCAGGUGUAUUUCUUCAGGAAUCAACCAAAUUGACUGGAAGAGCUGUUUUACAUAGAGGAUAUUGAGAGAGAAGAUUGGAGAUAAAGUCGAAGCCAGAUUGUGGAAGGCCUUGAAAUGCUUGGCCAAAGGGCUUGGACCUUAUCCUCUGAGAGAUCUCAGGUUCUCUCUCUCUCCUCAACUAACUGCCCUUAUUCUCUACACCAGCGAAUCACAGCCUACAUUCACCACCACGUGACGUGGUAAUAUUUAACUUGUCCUUUGUUUAUUUCCUUUCUUACCCCACACCCAUCACCUGGAUAAACUGUAUGCAUCUCAACAGCAAGAACAAUGACUUAUAUUUUUCUCAAUGCUGCACAAGCCUAGGAGAGGGUCUCAUAUGUAAUGUUUAACGACUACAUUCUGUUGACAUGCAAGAGGUAUAUGUCCCUACACCUUCAAACGCCCUACAAAUUGUUGAAUAUAACAAUAGCAUAUCAUUUCCUCCCCAAAUCUGGUAUAUUUUGACUGAAAAAUGUGAAUAAUAUCUUGAAGCUUCUAAUGCCUUUAUAAGCUACCACAUUCUGAUCAGAGUUCUUGG